AUGAAGAUCAGACAUUGGUCAAUGUUUUUGUUUUACACCAACUUCACGGGGACGCCUCAGCAGAGAAAUUAUGGGAAUCCUCAUGCCAACACAUCAGACCAACAACUACAGGAUGGGAAUGAUGCCAUAAACUAUGCUGUCCUGAAGUUCACUGACAAGAAUAGUACCACGCCAGGAGACAGAGGAGAGAACGGAGAGAACAGAGAGAGGAAGAAACCAUCUACUCAGGUGUGAGUCAUCAAGACAGGGUGUAACAGAGUAGGGUCAUCCAAUCAGCAUCAUUCUAAGUUAAGCCCCACCCCUCCUCUGAACUCCAAUUUGAUCUUGACAUUGUCCUUGUGACCUGGCUAUUUUGUACACUUCUGAUUUACUGUAGGAUGUCAUUGCAGGGGCUCUAAUUUUGCUGAAUAUAUGCAGUACCAGUCAAACGUUUGGACACAACUACUCAUUCAAUGUUUUUUCUUUAUUUUUACUCUUUUCUACAUUGUAGAAUAAUAGUGAAGACAUCAAAACCAGUUCUAACCAAAAGAAUGUUAAACAAAUAAAAAUAUAUUUUAUAUUUGAGAUUCUUCAAAGUAGACACCCAGUAUCUCUACCGCUGCUGUCUCUAGAGAGUUGAAAACAGCAGGUCUGGGACAGGUAGCACGUUCAGUGAACAGGUCAGGGUCCCAUAGCCACAGGCAGAGCAGUUGAAACUGGAGCAGCAGCACGACCAGGUGGACUGGGGACAGCAAGGAGUCAUCAGGCCAGUUAGUCCUGCUACAGAGAGAAAAGAAAGAAAGAAAGAAAGAAAGAGAGGAAGAAAGAGAGGAAGAAAGAGAGGAAGAAAGAGAGAGAAAAAGAGAGAGAGAAUUAGAGAGAGCAUGCUUAAAUUCACACAGGACACAAGAUAAGACAGGGAGAAAUACUCCAAAUAUUACAGACUGACCCUAGCCACCUGACACAUAAACUAUUGUAGCAUAAAUACUGGAGGCUGAGACAGGAGGGGUUGGGAGACACUGUGGCCCCGUCCGACGAUACCCCCGGACAGGGUCAAACAGGACAUAUGUACCAGUAGUCUCAGCCACCGACCCAAAUGAUGAAAAAAUACAAACCAUUAACUCUGACUUUAUAGUAUUUUAAGACAUACAGUGCAUUCGGGAAGUAUUCAGACCCCUUGACUUUUUCCACAUUUUGUUACAUUACAUUCUUAUUAAAAAUGUUGUUUUAAUAAAUGUUUUCCUCAUCAAUCUAAACACAAUACCCCAUAAUGACAAAGUGAAAACCGGUUUUUGGAAGAAAAAAAUAAUAAUUCUUACAAAUAAAAAACUGUGAUACAUUAUUUACAUAGGUAUUCAGACCCUUUGCCAUGAGACUUGAAAUUGAGCUCAGGUCCAUCCUGUUUCAUUGAGAUGUUUCUAGAAAUUGAUUGGAGUCCACCUGUGGUAAUUGCAAUUGAUUGGGCAUGAUUUGGAAAGGCACACACCUGUCUAUAAAAAGGUCCCACAGUUGACAGUGCAGAGCAAAUAUCUAGCCAUGAGGUCGAAGGAAUUGUCCGUAGAGCUACGAGACAGGAUUGUGUCGAGGAACAGAUCUGGGGAAGGGUACCAAAAUAUUUCUGCAGCAUUGAAGGUCCCCAAGAACACAGUGGCCUCCAUCAGUCUUAAAUGGAAAAUGUUUGGAACCCCCAAGACUCUUCCUAGAGCUGAGCAAUCAGGGGAA
RNAcentral lists this long non-coding RNA (1701 nucleotides) under Oncorhynchus mykiss (rainbow trout). RNAcentral describes it as "lncRNA (ENSOMYG00000064727.1)". Lineage: Eukaryota; Metazoa; Chordata; Actinopteri; Salmoniformes; Salmonidae. The record is from RNAcentral.